UCAUCAUGGCCCUUACGUCCAGGGCGACACACGUGCUACAAUGGCAGCUACGAGAGGGCAGCAAGACCGCGAGGUGGAGCCAAUCCCCUAAAAAGCCUAGUCUCAGUUGGGAUCGGAGUCUGCAACUCGACUCCGUGAGCGCGGAAUCGCUAGUAAUCGUGGAUCGGCCAUGCCACGGUGAAUACGUUCCCGGGCCUU
This 198-nucleotide ribosomal RNA is filed under the name uncultured Nitrospiraceae bacterium. RNAcentral's name for it is "partial 16S ribosomal RNA". It matches the Rfam family "Bacterial small subunit ribosomal RNA", at positions 1190 to 1382 of the family's 1533-position model. Lineage: Bacteria; Pseudomonadati; Nitrospirota; Nitrospiria; Nitrospirales; Nitrospiraceae. The record is from RNAcentral.